RNAcentral lists this ribosomal RNA (438 nucleotides) under uncultured Alphaproteobacteria bacterium. Its description in RNAcentral is "bacterial SSU rRNA". It matches the Rfam family "Bacterial small subunit ribosomal RNA", at positions 31 to 503 of the family's 1533-position model. Lineage: Bacteria; Pseudomonadati; Pseudomonadota; Alphaproteobacteria. The record is from RNAcentral.
GAACGCUUGCUGCAUGCUUUAUACAUGCAAGUCGAACGGAGGCCCUAGCUUGCUAGGUGUCCUUAGUGGCGCACGGGUGAGUAACACGUGGGAACAUACCUUAUAGUACGGAAUAACUGCGGGAAACUGUAGCUAAUACCGUAUACUCCAGUAAUGGGAAAGAUUUAUCGCUAUAAGAUUGGCCCGCGCAAGAUUAGCUUGUUGGUGAGGUAAAAGCUCACCAAGGCUUCGAUCUUUAGCUGGUUUGAGAGGACGAUCAGCCACACUGGGACUGAGACACGGCCCAGACUCCUACGGGAGGCAGCAGUAGGGAAUAUUGGACAAUGGGGGCAACCCUGAUCCAGCAAUGCAGCGUGAGUGACGAAGGCCUUAGGGUUGUAAAACUCUUUCAUCGGUGAGGAUAAUGACAGUAGCCGAAGAAGAAGGACCGGCUAAUUC